UACAGGGGGUGCAAACGUUGCUCGGAAUUAUUGGGCGUAAAGCGCGCGUCGGCGGCUACUUAAGUCGGAUGUGAAAGCCCCUGGCUCAACUGGGGAAGUGCACCCGAAACUGAGUGGCUUGAGUGCGAAAGAGGGUCGCGGAAUUCCCGGUGUAGAGGUGAAAUUCGUAGAUAUCGGGAGGAACACCGGUGGCGAAGGCGGCGCUCUGGGCUGGAACUGACGCUGAGGAGCGAAAGCGUGGGGAGCGAACAGG
RNAcentral lists this ribosomal RNA (253 nucleotides) under uncultured bacterium. RNAcentral's name for it is "partial 16S ribosomal RNA". It matches the Rfam family "Bacterial small subunit ribosomal RNA", at positions 524 to 776 of the family's 1533-position model. The record is from RNAcentral.